Molecule: long non-coding RNA, 2556 nt
Organism: Eriocheir sinensis (Chinese mitten crab)
Lineage: Eukaryota; Metazoa; Arthropoda; Malacostraca; Decapoda; Varunidae
Exons: 2
Source: RefSeq, a predicted model, not a curated record
GAGAAAUUAUCUGUCGAAGGGAGUGGUGACGGAGGAGAGAGAAGAGAAUGAGGAGUGAGCUGGCAAAGGAAGAGAAUGAAAGGAAGGGAAGAAAGAGACUGUAAUGAACUAGAAAGGAAGAAGAGGAAGGGAGACAAGAAUGAGAGGUGAGGCGUGAGAAAUUAUCUGUCGAAGGGAGAGGAAGGGAGUGGUGACAGGAGAGAGAAGAGAAUGAGGAGUGAGCUAGCAAAGGAAGAGAAUGAAAGGAAAGGAAGAAAGAGACAAGCAAUGAACUAGAAAGUGAAAAGAGGAAGGGAAACAAGAAUGAGAGGAGAGGAGUGAGAAAUUAACUGCCAAAGGAAGGGGAAUAAGUUACACCCUCCUUAACCCGGUAGCAGCGGGGAUCAUGUUUCUUAAUGGUCCCUCUAAGCGAGAAAAAUGAGAAAAAAUCAUCACUCACACAAACCAUUUCAUAAUAUAUAUCGAAGCAUUUGUGAUCAGUUUAUGUAUCAUCUAUUUUGGGGGGUUUAAAUCAUGGCACAAAUUUGGCCCGUCGCUGCUGCCGGGUUAAAAGAAUCACAAGACAUGAAUUACGACUCAGUUACAAUUAAUACAUUUCUCAGCCACUGUACUUACUCUCAACAUAAGCUCUCGUUAACCUGGUGCCAAGGUGACUUACUGAAUGCCUGAGUGUAGUUCCUUACCCGUGUGUACUUUCCUCUUCCUGCAUAUCAAGGUGUGCCAAGAUCAGAGCUGGAUAAUGCAAAUGCAAAACAUGGCAUCAGUUGUGUGUUCUGGAUGCUAUUAUUAUUAUUAUUAUUAUUAUUAUUUAUUUAUUUAUUAUUCUUUUUACAGUAGCAAAGUCAGCUUAUUCUGGCUGACAGUUGGUGAUUUUAUGAAGUUUGCCAAAACAGAAUACAUAAAGAGAAAGAUUAGAAGAUUUUGGUAAAAUUUAAGUUUAGAUAUUUUGUGAUGAACAGGUUGAAAAUAAUUUCUCGUUACUGAUCCAUGACAAUAAUAUAUUGCUAUUACUCUGGCUAACAGUUAGUGAUUAUAACAAGCUUUCCAGACUAGUGUAAACACAGGUUUAGUGUUCCUAGUGAAGGAGUAGCCAGAAAUCAUUUUCAAACCCUUCAUUACAAAAAAACGCCUCGUGAACACCAGAAAACCCUCGCAGUGUCCAGGACAACACGACCAGUGCCACGCUUUGCAUUUACAUGCCCUGACUCUCAACAAUAAUAGUGAUACUGUCAAAUGCAGCUAUAUAUAUAUAUCUAUAUAUAUAUAUAUAUAUAUAUAUAUAUAUAUAUAUAUAUAUAUAUAUAUAUAUAUAUAUAUAUAUAUAUACUACUGCAAUCUUAAUGUAUUUAUAUGUGCCUGCUAUACUGAAUUUACUGACUUAGAGGAAAAGCCUGUAGUAGCCUCUCUAUAUACUGUAUGAGAAAAGAAAUUGAUUGUCUUACUGUGUGGGAGAAGAUAAUUAUGGGGAAUAUUGUUGUGUUUUGUAUCAGAGAGUGAUGGGGAGACUUAAGAAUGUUGUGUUUUGUAUCAGAGUGAUGGGGAGACUUAAGAAUAUUGUGUUUUGUAUCAGAGAGUGAUGGGGAGACUUAAGAAUGUUGUGUUUUGUAUCAGAGAGUGAUGGGGAGACUUAAGAAUGUUGUGUUUUGUAUCAGAGAGUGAUGGGGAGACUUAAGAAUGUUGUGUUUUGUAUCAGAGAGUGAUGGGGAGACUUAAGAAUGUUGUGUUUUGUAUCAGAGAGUGAUGGGGAGACUUAAGAAUGUUGUGUUUUGUAUCAGAGAGUGAUGGGGAGACUUAAGAAUAUUGUGUUUUGUAUCAGAGAGUGAUGGGGAGACUUAAGAAUACUGUGUUUUGUAUCAGAGAAGAGAGUGAUGGGGAGACUUAAGAAUAUUGUGUUUUGUAUCAGAGAAGAGAGUGAUGGGGAGACUUAAGAAUAUUGUGUUUUGUAUCAGAGAGUGAUGGGGAGACUUAAGAAUACUGUGUUUUGUAUCAGAGAGUGAUGGGGAGACUAAAGAAUAUUGUGUUUUGUAUCAGAGUGAUGGGGAGACUUAAGAAUACUGUGUUUUGUAUCAGAGAGUGAUGGGGAGACUUAAGAAUGUUGUGUUUUGUAUCAGAGAGUGAUGGGGAGACUUAAGAAUGUUGUGUUUUGUAUCAGAGAGUGAUGGGGAGACUUAAGAAUAUUGUGUUUUGUAUCAGAGAGUGAUGGGGAGACUUAAGAAUAUUGUGUUUUGUAUCAGAGAGUGAUGGGGAGACUUAAGAAACUUGUUGCUUAGUGUACUGGAAAAGAAGUUUGUGGGCAGACUAAAGCAAAUUAUAGCCUUUUUAUGAUGUAGAUUAAUGUAUAAUGAUAUGACAGGGUAACUACUACUGCUACUACUACUAUUACUACUACUACUUCUGCUACUACUAUGACUACUGCUGCUGCUGCUACUAUAUUAUUUCUGCUAAAGUGGGAGAAAAUAAUGAUAGAAAAAUGUAAUAAAAAUAGUACUGCUUCACCUGUUGUCAGUCCCGGUCAGGUAAUUUUUUUUUAUAAUAAAGAGAUGAAGGAAAAAAAGA